GAUGAACGCUAGCGGCAGGCUUAACACAUGCAAGUCGAGGGGUAACAGGGAAAAGCUUGCUUUUUUGCUGACGACCGGCGCACGGGUGAGUAACGCGUAUAGAACCUACCUUUUACAGGGGAAUAGCCCAGAGAAAUUUGGAUUAAUGCCCUAUAGUAUUAUUGAGUGGCAUCAUUUAAUAAUUAAACAUUUAUGGGUAAAAGAUGGCUAUGCGUUCUAUUAGCUAGAUGGUAAGGUAACGGCUUACCAUGGCAACGAUAGAUAGGGGUCCUGAGAGGGAGAUCCCCCACACUGGUACUGAGACACGGACCAGACUCCUACGGGAGGCAGCAGUGAGGAAUAUUGGACAAUGGAGGCAACUCUGAUCCAGCCAUGCCGCGUGCAGGAAGACGGCCCUAUGGGUUGUAAACUGCUUUUAUACGGGAAGAAACCCAACUACGUGUAGUUGGCUGACGGUACCGUAAGAAUAAGCACCGGCUAACUCCGUGCCAGCAGCCGCGGUAAUACGGAGGGUGCAAGCGUUAUCCGGAAUCAUUGGGUUUAAAGGGUCCGUAGGCGGGCUAAUAAGUCAGGGGUGAAAUCCAACAGCUUAACUGUUGAACUGCCUUUGAUACUGUUAGUCUUGAAUUAUAUGGAAGUAGAUAGAAUGUGUAGUGUAGCGGUGAAAUGCUUAGAGAUUACACAGAAUACCGAUUGCGAAGGCAGUCUACUACGUAUAUAUG
This 722-nucleotide ribosomal RNA is filed under the name Lutibacter sp. RNAcentral describes it as "bacterial SSU rRNA". It matches the Rfam family "Bacterial small subunit ribosomal RNA", at positions 28 to 741 of the family's 1533-position model. Lineage: Bacteria; Pseudomonadati; Bacteroidota; Flavobacteriia; Flavobacteriales; Flavobacteriaceae. The record is from RNAcentral.